RNAcentral lists this long non-coding RNA (294 nucleotides) under Ananas comosus (pineapple). RNAcentral's name for it is "long non-coding RNA (ACOM_LNC019949)". The record is from RNAcentral. Lineage: Eukaryota; Viridiplantae; Streptophyta; Magnoliopsida; Poales; Bromeliaceae.
GGGAUGGAUGAGAAGAAAAAGGUGGAACCAGUGCCAUUAUUCAAAAGAAAGAAAGAUGAGAAAGGAGUUUCGAUGGAAGAGACGAAGUGUUGUAAGAAACGAAGAAGAAGUAAAAGAAAGCGAUGAAAAUGAAAGAUAAAAGUUGAAGAAGAAGGAAAGAUGGCCGUCGUGUCGAAACGAAUUCCGAGAUCGGCUAUAAUGAUGAAUAGACGGCGGUAAUUAAAUGACCUAAUUAAUGCCGUAUGUAAGACAAAAAUCGAGGGAGAAAUCAGGGCCGUAAAGAAAAAUGAACGG